CUCUUUUCAUAAAUUCCCCAUAAAAAACAAGUCAUUUGUUUAAAUGUUAUGAACAGGUUAGGAAUCAGGGAAAAAAAUGGACAGAUAUAAGACUUGGAUGGUAAAGCUAAAUAUGGGAAAACCAGCAACAAAGCACAUGAAAGUGUGUUCACUACAUUGUAAUCAGGAUGAUUUCAUAUUGAGGAUUUGAUUUGAGGACCCAGGUGGGUUAGUUAGCUUCGUGCUUGCCCACUACACCUUGGGUCGUGGGUUCGAUUCCCGCCUUGCCUUUUGGGUGUUGUGUAUGUCAUGUUUCCUGUAAUUGGGCCUCCAGCUUGUUAGAGACAUCAUAGGAUAAAAUAAAUAAAAAUAUUACCUGAUGUAAGUAUCAUUACUAAAGAAUUACUACCUAGAAGGCCCAAAAAUCGAGACUUUAAAGCAGUCAGAAGUACAACAAUGAGAAAAUCUGAAGGUUACAUAAUUUCAAGUACAGAUAGUACUGAUGUAAAUUGCUUCGACAGCAGUCAGUUACAUCAAAAAACUGUUUCAACAUUAGAAAUGGAAACCGUGCAGGCUUUGUUACAUUUACAAAAUUCACAAAAAAAGGAUAAAAAUAUUCAAGUGACAAGUGGAGAUUUAGUGGCACCUUUUAUAAGUACACUUAAAUCUGAUAAUGAUUUAAAUACAAUGGCUGGAAUACCAUCCUUUCUGUUAUUUAAUGCUAUUGUUGCAAAUUGUGAGAUGUUUGGAAAAUUCUGUAAUAAACAUAAAUUAAACUUGAAAGAACGUGUUCUGUUAACUUUUAUGAAACUGAAAAAUACAUUUUCUUAUGCUGUUUUA
Zophobas morio is the source of this 819-nucleotide long non-coding RNA. RefSeq lists it as uncharacterized. The transcript has 4 exons. Lineage: Eukaryota; Metazoa; Arthropoda; Insecta; Coleoptera; Tenebrionidae. The record is from RefSeq and is a predicted model, not a curated record.